CUACGGGCUGCACCAGUGGGGAAUAUUGCACAAUGGGGGGAACCCUGAUGCAGCAAUGCCGCGUGAAGGAUGAAGUAUUUCGGUAUGUAAACUUCUUUCAGUAGGGAAGAAACAAAUGACGGUACCUACAGAAGAAGCCCCGGCUAACUAUGUGCCAGCAGCCGCGGUAAUACAUAGGGGGCAAGCGUUAUCCGGAUUUACUGGGUGUAAAGGGUGCGUAGGCGGCAUGAUAAGUCAGGUGUGAAAACCCGGGGCUCAACUCCGGGAAUGCACUUGAAACUAUUAAGCUAGAGUACAGGAGAGGUAAGCGGAAUUCCUAGUGUAGCGGUGAAAUGCGUAGAUAUUAGGAAGAACACCAGUGGCGAAGGCGGCUUACUGGACUGAAACUGACGCUGAGGCACGAAAGCGUGGGGAGCGAACAGGAUUAGAUACCCUGGUAGUC
Molecule: ribosomal RNA, 442 nt
Filed under: uncultured bacterium
Lineage: Bacteria
Description: partial 16S ribosomal RNA
Rfam family: Bacterial small subunit ribosomal RNA
Source: RNAcentral